Molecule: ribosomal RNA, 301 nt
Filed under: uncultured bacterium
Lineage: Bacteria
Description: partial 16S ribosomal RNA
Rfam family: Bacterial small subunit ribosomal RNA
Source: RNAcentral
CAGUAGCCGCGGUAAUACGUAGGGUGCAAGCGUUAAUCGGAAUUACUGGGCGUAAAGCGUGCGCAGGCGGUUCGGAAAGAAAGGUGUGAAAUCCCAGGGCUUAACCUUGGAACUGCACUUUUAACUACCGGGCUAGAGUGUGUCAGAGGGGGGUGGAAUUCCGCGUGUAGCAGUGAAAUGCGUAGAGAUGCGGAGGAACACCGAUGGCGAAGGCAGCCCCCUGGGAUAACACUGACGCUCAUGCACGAAAGCGUGGGGAGCAAACAGGAUUAGAUACCCGCGUAGUCCCUGUCUCUUAUAC